UGUCUCUAAAUUCUCAAAUUAGGGGCGCUUUACAUCAAGUGUCUCUGUAAUGUUCAAACCUGCACCAACAUUGCUAUCUAAUUAAUUUAUAAAUCAAAACCCUAACACUCUCACCCACUCAUACGAAAACAGAGUUCACUUCGCGGGCCUGAUUCCACUCUAACUUCGCGAACUCGACUGCUCCAAAUUGUGCCUUCAAUCGCCGGUGUCGCAGCUGCUGCCGGCUACCACUCACCUUUUGAGCACCGGUGAGUCGUUCACCACUUCGAGCACUUUAAUCUCUCCGCCGAUUUCUUUUUCCCAUGGAGUAUCUGCCGUAAUUAGGAGAAGCAUUUGAAGAAUUAUGUUGAUAUCUACUCGUCUCUUAAGUGGAAUUCCAUUGUUUGCCAAGCUCGGAUACUCAAUUUGUAAGUUUUUGUUUCACCUCCUUUGUAGGUACUUCGCAAUUUAGAUUUUGUUGAAUUCUUUUGGUUUCAUGCUUGAUUGUAGUUAGAUUUUUCUAGGUUUAAUUGUUAUUUUAGCUCCGUGCGUGAAUUAUUAGCUUCUGUGCUUAUCUGUUAGUUGAAUUAUGAGAACUAUCUAAUACUAAAUAUUUUCUAUUUUUGUUUAUUCCAAUUUAAUUUUAUCGGUUUUGGAGUUUGAAUAAGGUGCUUGGGCUGGGUAUCUAAUUGAAACUCUUAAUGGUUGACUAGAUGGUGGUAUAUUGCAUAGGUUUAUCUUUUUGUGUAUUUUUCCAGAAAAUGCUCUAUUGAAGAUAGCAAACCUCUGGAUAUCAAGCUAUUGUCUAAAUCUGUUUUCUAAUAGCAACUGAACAAAGUUUCUUUGUGUGAACAAACAAGGUACCAUUUAACUCUGUUGUUAGGUUCAUUUUAUAUCAGAAUACAAGUAAAGUUACUCGUCACUAACUCACUAUUGUAUAUUUGAAAUGGAAAUGUCUAGCUUGGUUGGGUGGAAUUCAGGUUGAUUAUUUGAUAUUAGGUUGAGCAAGCAUUAUCCUUGCAUAACUGAUACGAAUGGUAUAUUUAGAGCCUAUGUCAUUUACUCUCUUAUACGAUGGAAUGUUAAUUCUAACUGUAAGUUGUAACUUGUAAGAACAAAUGCACGUAUUCUCUUCGUUAGCAGAUUCUGUCAGAUAAGGCUGCAUUGUUGGCUCAGAAUACAGUUAAUGAGCUCAUUCAGGUAAGUUUUUAUGAAAUUCAGUGGCUAUUAAGGGUUUGUCUUCCAAAUUUUCUACCUUUGCAGACUGAAAGAAAGGACGUUCCACUCGGAUAGCUUCAAUCUUCCCUCAUUCAUUUUCUUCUUAUAAUUAAAAUUUGUUCCUUUUCAGCAACUCAGACCCUCAAUCUGAAUCAUCUCCAGAAAUCAGAAAGUUAGAGCAGGAGCUCAUGCAAGGAGCCAGAUGAAGUGAUGUUAUGAGAUAGUAGCAAUGAGCUUAGAAGUAGUAGUACUAACUAUUUGUUAAAUGGUUAAGAAGAAGAGAUAUUUGGUGUAAGGCUUGAUGAUUAUUCUCAUUCAACUGUUCCUGUUAAAUAGGAGAGUACAAUCAUUCUCAUAUGGUAACUAAAUCAUUCCUAUUCUAUA
Molecule: long non-coding RNA, 1581 nt
Organism: Salvia splendens (bonfire salvia)
Lineage: Eukaryota; Viridiplantae; Streptophyta; Magnoliopsida; Lamiales; Lamiaceae
Exons: 3
Source: RefSeq, a predicted model, not a curated record